RNAcentral lists this ribosomal RNA (497 nucleotides) under uncultured bacterium. Its description in RNAcentral is "partial 16S ribosomal RNA". It matches the Rfam family "Bacterial small subunit ribosomal RNA", at positions 28 to 507 of the family's 1533-position model. The record is from RNAcentral.
GAUGAACGCUGGCGGCGUGCCUAAUACAUGCAAGUCGAGCGAACGGACGAGAAGCUUGCUCCUCUGACGUUAGCGGCGGACGGGUGAGUAACACGUGGAUAACCUACCUAUAAGACUGGGAUAACUUCGGGAAACCGGAGCUAAUACCGGAUAAUAUAUUGAACCGCAUGGUUCAAUAGUGAAAGACGGUCUUGCUGUCACUUAUAGAUGGAUCCGCGCUGCAUUAGCUAGUUGGUAAGGUAACGGCUUACCAAGGCAACGAUGCAUAGCCGACCUGAGAGGGUGAUCGGCCACACUGGAACUGAGACACGGUCCAGACUCCUACGGGAGGCAGCAGUAGGGAAUCUUCCGCAAUGGGCGAAAGCCUGACGGAGCAACGCCGCGUGAGUGAUGAAGGUCUUCGGAUCGUAAAACUCUGUUAUUAGGGAAGAACAAAUGUGUAAGUAACUAUGCACGUCUCGACGGUACCUAAUCAGAAAGCCACGGCUAGCUACGUG